GGGGUUGACCGGAUUUGACAGGAUGAUUGAAUACGGUGUAAGCAUGUAGAGCUUUGGAUGUUGGCUCUUUAAUCUCAAUGUUCAAACUUUUAAGAGGCGAAUCUAACUACGCCCUGGCUGCUUAAUUCGAGUAAUUAACAGAUCCAGUUGUUCCCACCCCUCCUGCCUGUGUCAGGGGUGAUCAGGAGCAAUCGACCGACACGGGUAUGGCCACUCACACCGGCCAGGUGAGCCAUUAACACGCCGGAUAAGGUGACAUAAGGUUUUUCCUGUACCUGCCGCCACCCGACAACAAACAGGUAUAAACAUGUAGAAAGCGCCAGUACUCGCAUCUCUGGACGGGGGUUCGAUUCCCCCCAGCUCCACCA
Molecule: transfer-messenger RNA, 368 nt
Filed under: Bacteroidia
Lineage: Bacteria; Pseudomonadati; Bacteroidota
Also listed under: 1 other name
Description: RGEC01 sp016787485 Standard tmRNA
Rfam family: transfer-messenger RNA
About the family: Bacterial tmRNA, also known as 10Sa RNA or SsrA, is named for its dual tRNA and mRNA-like properties. Its role is to liberate the mRNA from a stalled ribosome. To accomplish this part of the tmRNA is used as a reading frame that ends in a translation stop signal.
Source: RNAcentral